GAAGCUGACCAGACAGUCGCCGCUUCGUCGUCGUCCUCUUCGGGGGAGACGGGCGGAGGGGAGGAAAGUCCGGGCUCCAUAGGGCAGGGUGCCAGGUAACGCCUGGGGGGAAACCCACGACCAGUGCAACAGAGAGCAAACCGCCGAUGGCCCGCGCAAGCGGGAUCAGGUAAGGGUGAAAGGGUGCGGUAAGAGCGCACCGCGCGGCUGGUAACAGUCCGUGGCACGGUAAACUCCACCCGGAGCAAGGCCAAAUAGGGGUUCAUAAGGUACGGCCCGUACUGAACCCGGGUAGGCUGCUUGAGCCAGUGAGCGAUUGCUGGCCUAGAUGAAUGACUGUCCACGACGCUAUACCCAAAAGAAAGCGGCUUAUCGGUCAGUUUCACCU
Molecule: RNase P RNA, 388 nt
Filed under: Escherichia coli
Lineage: Bacteria; Pseudomonadati; Pseudomonadota; Gammaproteobacteria; Enterobacterales; Enterobacteriaceae
Description: RNase P RNA component class A
Rfam family: Bacterial RNase P class A
About the family: Ribonuclease P (RNase P) is a ubiquitous endoribonuclease, found in archaea, bacteria and eukarya as well as chloroplasts and mitochondria. Its best characterised activity is the generation of mature 5'-ends of tRNAs by cleaving the 5'-leader elements of precursor-tRNAs.
Source: RNAcentral